CUAGUAUUUUCAACAUCAACGCCAACACCAACAGACAAUAAACAAAUUAUGUUCAUAUCAGCUUAGUACCUGAUGGGGGUCUUAUUGGGCUCGUGAUAUCAAUGCUAUUUUUGCCACCAGACGGUGCGUCUCUAGCUCUCUUCGGCACCGUCACGUGUCGUCCUGGUAUUGCACUCUCCUCCAGGCUCGGACCGCUUUUG
Molecule: small nuclear RNA, 200 nt
Organism: Ornithodoros turicata
Lineage: Eukaryota; Metazoa; Arthropoda; Arachnida; Ixodida; Argasidae
Product: U2 spliceosomal RNA
Exons: 1
Source: RefSeq, a predicted model, not a curated record